RNAcentral lists this ribosomal RNA (300 nucleotides) under uncultured Desulfurococcus sp. RNAcentral describes it as "bacterial SSU rRNA". It matches the Rfam family "Bacterial small subunit ribosomal RNA", at positions 496 to 795 of the family's 1533-position model. Lineage: Archaea; Thermoproteati; Thermoproteota; Thermoprotei; Desulfurococcales; Desulfurococcaceae. The record is from RNAcentral.
GCUAAGGAGGGGCCGGCGUCGGGGGUAAGACGGUGGGGGCAAGCGUGGUCCGGAUUUAGUGGGCGGAAAGAGCGUGUAGGCGGCCUGGAAGGUCAGCUGUGAAAACUCGCGGCCCAACCUCGAGACGUCGGUUGAAACCACCUGGCUAGAGUCCGGAAGAGGAGUGUGGAAUUCCCGGUGUAGCGGUGAAAUGCGCAGAUAUCGGGAAGAACACCCGUGGCGAAGGCGGCACUCUGGGACGGUACUGACGCUGAGACGCGAAAGCGUGGGGAGCGAACAGGAUUAGAUACCCGGGUAGUC